ACAGCCUGGCGGCGGCCCGCGGAGCCCAGGUACGCGGCCUGGCAGGACUGUGGCGGCCCAGAGCGGGACGGGGUGGAGGCGGGGCGGGGGGGGGGGCAUCUCGGCAGGCAGGUGGCCAUGGGGCGAGGGAGAGGGCCCCUGGAAAGCAGCCUAUGUUUGUUGACUGCGAUUCGCCUCUGAUCCUGGAGCUGGCAAGGGAGCCCCCGACGGGUAAGUUUGGAUUUUGCGCCCCUGUGUGUGGGUGCGCUGGGCAGGCUGGCAAUGCGAGGUGGCGGCACUCCUGCUCAGGGGCACCUGGCGAACUCAGCAGGCACAGGCGGUAAGGGUCCCAGACGAGUCCUGGCCGCUAGCUAUCAAGGGGGCAGGGGGGCGGUGGUGCUCCCCUUUGGUGAGACCGCUGGUGGUGAGGAGCUCCCCAGAAGAAGGUGUAAGAAGAGGAAGCCAGGGGUGGGAUGGAGGGCCCGCAAGAUCAAGAGAGGGAGGGAGCGAGCUGAGCAGGGAAGGAGCUCCAGCAGUCCUCCGGUCCCACAGAUGUGUGCCUGGCAGCCCCUGCGGGCCAGGCCCCUGCAGGCGUUGGCGAUAUGGCAGGGAAGAAAAUGGCAAAACUCGCCCCACGUGGGUCCAGGCCUAGUGGCAGGGCGCACACGACAGGACAGCAAACAUCUUAAAUGAAGGAUGAUAGAGUGUGUUCAUCGGUGGUAAGUGCCCUGGGGAAACUAGAGCAGAGGGAAGGAGGUGAGGGGUUGGGUCGCAAGUCUGAGCAGAUGAGGGUAUUUCAGAAAACCUCGAAGGAGAUGAGAGUGUGUACCGGGCAGAGGGAACAACCAGUGCAAAGGGCCUGAGGUAUGAGUGGACUGAUGUGUGGAAGGGAAUGCUCAGAGGGUGGUGUGGCAGGAGCAGAGGGAGCAAGCAGGUGGGAGGGGGGCAGGGCGAGGCCAGGAGGGGCCACAUGGGUCUACUCUGAGUCAGAUGGGCACCCCGGGGAGGGCCGUGAGCAGGCAAGGACAGAACCCCAUUAGGAGGUGGCCCUGUUUACCAUCAGUUCAGCCUCUGCCCCUCCCCCACCCCCCACCGCCCAGGACAGGGGAGACCCCAGUUGCAAGGCUGAUCCUUAGAUGAUCCUUAGAGGGCUUUGUUGGGUGGAGCAGCGUGGAAGGCCCUGGGGUGACCUGCGGCCUCCCUAGGCCCAGGGCCCUGGGGCCGACCCACCCAGAGGGCUGCAAGCGCUGCGGUCCCCAGGGAAGGCUGCCGGAGCCAGGAGGAGGCAGCCGGGGUCUCCAAGUGCCAGGCCUCAGAGGAAGUCCGCCAGGAAGGAAGAAGCCUGACUGCAAGAGGCCUGGAGCCACUCCUCCUCACAGAUGAAGAAGCCCCAGUUCCUGAUCCCGCCUGUAUGGGGUCGCCUCCUGCCUUUCCUGGGUUUACAGGAAGCGUGCAUACCAUUUUCUCCCUACGUGCUUCAAGAAGGAAGGACAUUUCCUCCCAUGACCCAGUGCCGUUAUCCAUCCAACCCAUGCCCAGCGCGGGCGCCUGCUGUCGUCUGAGAGCCGCUGCACAGUCACCCUCCAGGCCCCCACUGCCUUUGACUCCUCCUUCCUUCACACCAGCAUCUCAUCAAGGACUUCGUUACACUUGACCAUUGGCCGUCUGGUUAUCCUUUCAUCUGAAGCAGCCUCUCUCCCCAGCCUCGUCUUUUCCCCCUGACGCUGAGACACGCAGGAGACCGGGAACAGCCCACCUUCUGGAUUGGGCCGGUUGCUCCCUUGUAGCUAGUGUCUUGAAGUGGUCCCUCUGUCCCCAGCUGUUUACAGGUGGAAUGGUAUGUGUGUGUUGGGAGGUUUUCUGUAAGGACCCUGACCUGAGAGGAAAAGGGGUCAGCAGUGGAGCUUCCGGGGAUGGCUGGAAAGUCGGGGUGCAGGGGUCCUGCCCCCAUGGGAAGAAAGGAAUGAGAAAGAGGAAGCCAAGGCUCGCCGGAGGUGGGCAGGACUCCCUGUCUGGCGGCCCACCGCCCAGGUGAGGGGAGAGGGCGGCAGCUCGGUCUGGGAAAGUGUUAUGGGUUGGAUUGUGUCCCCCAAGAAAGAUGUGUUCGAGUCUUGCCCGCCAGCAGCUGUGACUGGGACCUAACCUGGAUGAGGUGGUGCUGGACUAGGGCGGGCCUCAUCUCGCACUUGGCUUUUGCCAAUCCCCUUAGCUUGUUUGUACCCCCGCGGUGGCAGCCGUUCUCUUGAAGGCCGGACCCAAGGUGAGCGGGGCUCCCUGACCGUCUCCAUCCGCCCCCUCAUCAUGCCCCAGCCUCACAAGUCUGGCAACCCCGAGUCUCCCCUUAGCUGCUGAGUUCUCUGAGUCCCCACCCCCACCCCCACCCCACGUUUGGUAGCCGCUCGCCCAUCCUGCGACCCAUGGGGGUGAAUUCCCCUGCGGCCCCAGGAAUUUCUCAUUUUAGGUGCCGGUAUCGUUUGAAGACGUGUCCAUGUACUUCAUCAAGACAGAAUGGAAGCUUCUGGACCUCAGUCAAAGGAUCCUCUACAAGAGAGUGUUGCUGGAGAACUACCGCCAUUUGGUGUCACUGGAUGCUGACGCUGGGCUGAGUUCAGGAGUGACUGAUCUGCUUCGUUUCCAUGGACAGGACUUUUAGCCUCCAAGCCUCACCUGGUCUCCUGGCUGGAGCAAGGGGACGGGCCCCAGGCAGCAGACAUCCACGGGACACGGGCUGCUGCGGGGGUGAGGACGGGUGACGGGAUAGAGAACAGGACGUCGACUUCAAAGCAGAAGCAUCGCCCCCAAGAGCUCCCGAGGACUGACCCUUGGGGCGGUAAUAAGAGCCAGGUGGCCCGGCCAACAGGGGAGACCGCUAAUCGCACAGGGAAACAUGCUCGUUCCCCACAGACAGGUUCUGGCAGGGGUGACCAGCCUGGGGAGAGAGGUCAAGGCGGCUCCUCCGACGAGGGAAGAGCGAUGAGCUAGAGAAGACAGGAUGGUGUGAGGCGGGAUUAGGGUCUCGGGCCGCGAGCUGCGCCGGGCGCCGACAAGCGGCACCUGUGUCCGCAGUGUGGGAAAUCCUUCAGUCGCGGCUCCAACCUCCUCAAGCACCGGCGCACCCACAGUGGCCACAAGCCCUACACGUGCGGCUAGUGUCUCAAGGCCUUCAAGGGCGCGUCCCAGUUCAUUCGCCGCCAGCGCGUCCACAGCGGGGAGAAGCCGUUCGCGUGCCAAGAGUGCGGGAAGGCGUUCCGGGGACGCUCUGGUGUCAGCCUGCACCGCCGGGCGCACGGCGGCGCGAGCGGCCCUACGCGCGCGGCGAGUGCGGGAAGGCCUUUGGAGGCGCUCCCCCCUCUUCAAGCGCCGGGCGACUCGCGGCGAGGGGCGGCCCUGUGGGCGUCCGCACUGCGGGAGGGUGUUCCGGAGCCGCUUGUCCCUCCCGGAGCACCGGCGCGCCCCGGGCGGCCAGCGCCGCCUAGCCUGUGAGGGGACGGUGUGGCGCGGCGGCCCCCACGACAGCCGCAGGGGUGGGAAGCCCUCGGAGAAGAGCGACGGGGGAAAGGCGCCGGCCUCUUUGGGUGCGAGGGCCAGAAAGUCCGGGGACACCGCGAACGCGCAGCCACUGGCAGUGCAGCCUGCUGGCCUGGGAGAGGGCCCGCUUUAAAGCCUGGGGCCUCCCGCUCCCCUCUGCCUUUGAUCGCUGAGGACGCGACUGAAGCACAGAGACCUCAGGACAGAUCCACGUUCUGUGCUGGAACUGCCCAGAUGCCCCUCCCCGACGCGGGUCAGCGCCGCGCUCCAGCAGGGCCCUGUUGUGGGCACAGCCGCCUCCGAUGAGGGACGAGCAGUCUCUCUCGUGUCGUGGGACCAUCCGCUUCGCCCCAAGACUUCUUGGUGUUUCCAGGUAAAAGCACUAAAAGCACUUUAAUCUUUUCAGAGCUCAUAAACGGGGGGGACGUGACGGAAUUCUACAACUAGACUGUGGCCGGCCCGUGACAUCACCUCAAAUGCAUCAAGAAACCGUCCGAAAACGGCCUUGGGCGAACACAUUCGUGGACAGCUCACGCCCAGGUGCCAGGCUGCGGGAAGCGGUGUCUCCUCUCUAAGCCCGCAGCUCCACGGGAAGAAACGGGACACGCUGCCAUCAUGCUGACUGGUGACCUGCUCUUUUUCCAGGCCCUCUGUCCCCGUGCCAGAGAGGCGCAGGCUUCUCCUUUGAGAAGCAGCCCCCUGGGCCCAUAUUCUCGGAGCCCUGGGGCGGGGCAGGGGAGUCGGGGGACACUCUGGUCCCUCGCAGGAGCGGGCUCCGGGCAAGACCCCGCACCAGCUGGCCUGCUGCUAUCCGUCUCCUCCUGCCCGGUCUCCCGGGCUCACCCUACUCACUGCCGUCUGCCUCCCACACCCCAGCAGCAGAGACCAGCCUGGCCUCUCUGCCCCUCCUCCCCACCCUCAGUGCCUAAAGCUUCAUACUUAGCUGCUCUUCCUCAAGCGGCCACCUCUUGUGGCUGGUGCCGAUCAGGAACAAAACGAGACGGGCUACGAAUUUGCACAGAGCAUGCCCAGUGAUGGCUCUCUCAUCGGACCUUUCGUAUGAUAUUUCUUACAAUGCUGCACGUUCACUUGCUUUCAGCAUUUUUGUAUUCAGGAGUAACGUAAGCUAGAGAUUUGGGCCAUAUAAGGAAGGGUGUUGGUGAAUCGCUCCUGAAAUAAGAAUCCCGCCAACCCUCUGAGAAGACCUCAGGCAGGAGAAAGAGACACCCGAUGGGUGUGGUGGUGAGCCUGGCCGCUCUUCUCCCUCCUCCCCCUGAGCCCCAUGGAAACAGGGUGGCCCCUUCCAAUGGCACUUUCCUGCAGCCUCCUGCUGGCCAGGGGGUGGCGGCUGCUGGCAGGCUCUGCCCUGUUCUGUCCGCACCGUCCCCAGAGCCAGGUUCAGGAGUUCGGCCCCUGGGUGCUCUCAGCCCAGCGUCCUGGUUGGCUUGCCUCCUCCUUCCAGCCCCCUCCACUGCCGGGACCUCUGGCGGGCAACUGGUAGGUAUGCUGGGCACCCCCUAUGGGCCUCCGAGGAUCGUGUGUGCCUUCCCUGCCACACAGUGAGAGGCUCAAAGCACCCUCAGGACAGUGUGGGGAAGAUCUGGAAAUACAGGAUUUCUUCCGAGCAUGCUUGUUGGAGCUCCAGUCAGUAGGAUGACUCCAGGAGCAAGAGAUACAGAUAGAUAGAUAGAAACACAUUGACAUAGAAGUUUUAUAUAGCUAUAUUAAAAUGAUUUUUAGACACGACUUACGGAAAGUUCUAGAGUUCUUGCAACUUGCUUUUAUCUCAGAGCCCUUUCACAGGGCCUGUGUCCCCUUGUCCUUCUGCUCUUUGUGUCACGUUCAUCUUUGUCGGCACUGCAGAAACAGGAAGUAUUAAGGCCACUGUCUCUGAAGUCCACGGACAGGGCAUGUGGAAGCGCGUGUUUUUAUGAGGCGCUAUCUUUGCCAGGGCUGGGGUGGAUUCAGGAAGCCAAUCCCCAGUGCAGAACAAGAGACAGUGGCAGGAGGCAUUGGGGCGACAGCUGCCACGCGGUGGUGGGAACUAGAAAGAGAUCAGAUCCCGGGGCUCUGAUGUCUGUUUCCAUCACCAUAGUAAGUGAGCCGUCUCAACUCUGCAGGCCAGUCAGUAACCGGCUUCACUAAAGAAGAGUCGUAGCCCCCCGUGGAAUGUCAUCCCAUGGGUUCUACUGGAUGAGCCACCUUGAUUUUGUGGUUUUCUUUCUAAUGUGCUCUGAAAUUGGGCUCCCACAGAACUGGAUGCAAAAGCUCACGCUACUGAAGGACAUCCUGCCGGCUUUCCAGUCCCUUCCCCAAGAACUUCCCUGGACAUCGGCCCCGUCGCGCUUCUCGACUGGUGUGCUUCAGGGAUGGCCCCGUAAGACACGGUGCCAGCGCACAGUGUGUCUGACGUUGAGACCACUCGCCCUGUGAAACUGUGCAGACUUUCCAAGAGCCAUUUAAAUGCCGUGGCAGUGCCUCCACGUAACUGGUGAAUUGCCCCGGCCGCAUUCAUUUACUUUGGGCGCGAGCAAAUGAGGGUCUAAGAGUGCUGGCCUUAAAGGAGCCCUCUCGUGGUGUCAAGUAACCAGAUGGCAGUUGGGCCAAAGGUCCCAGGAAAAACUCUAAGAGUGGAAUCGUGGGGGGAAGCCAAGACAGUACGUUGGCGUGAAGGGAAGGCAGAAACCCUGGAGGGCGAGACACAUGGGCAUCCAGAGCUGCCACUCCCGGCCGGUGGGACACCGUGACUCAGAUCAGGAAGGACAGAGUGGCGCAUCAGUUCCCCGAGAGACCCAGCUGUGUCUUCCUCCCAGUUGCUUCUUCAGGCAACAUGGCGGCACGCACACUCACUCAGGUGGGUGCCCCGUCCAGCCCCGUGCGGGCCUGUAUAGAAGGUGGCUCCACCUUCACCCUUCCGUGGUUUGCUUCGUGGCCUCCCGCUGUGGGGGGACUCCAGGGUGGACACCUGUCUGUACUAUAGGCCCUGCGACCUCUCCAUCUCUGUCUUCCCCCAGCCAUGUUUGAGGUCCUCGGCCCUUUCCUCUGUCCUUUAUCUCUGAUGGUCAUUGAGCCACCAGAUCCCAUCCGCCCUCGAUUAUGGUUGCCCCAGCUGUGCCUGCCUGCAUGCGGCCGUGUUUGAGUUGCAAGGGCGGUCCUGCAGUUGUCACCUGACUGACGGAAGCAUCCUUGUCUGGGGCUUUACGUAGGCCCGGGAACAUAGCUCUCUGCAAAACGGACCAUGUCUACAACCUUGCUCGGAUUGUAGCUCGCGAGACUAGCUCUGCUUUGCGAAGCUGGCAGGUGCUCCAAACAAAGAGAUAGGGAAAGCUGUGUUCCCUGUGACUGUGUGGCUGUAAUCCCAGACUUGCCCCCAAGGGACGGAAAAACAGGCCUGGAAAGGGGGCUCUCAGGAUUGUGUUGCCAUUGUCGCCAAACAUCCGUAGCUUCUACAUGUUUGCUUUGCUCUCGCUCCCGAGGUUGGUUCUGCUGGUGUUAUGGCAGCAGGGGCGCAGCGGGAUGCCUACGGCACGGCUGAUUCUCCGUGAACGUCUCAGGACGGGCCAGGACCUUCACUCCUUUCCUCAGCCGGAGUUGCACAGCAGGCUUUCAGGUGGGGAUGCUACAUGUAUGUCUUGUCAGGCGGCAGAGACAAGUGCGUCUUGAAGCCACGGCCAGAGCGAGCAGGAGGGGAGCUCUUGAAACGGGAAGGAGAGGUCGAGGGAUUUCAGGCAGGGUAGGGGGAAGAAGAGGGGGCACAUGGUGUGGUCAGGAACCCCCAAAGAGCAGAAGGACUUUGGUAGGACUGUUGGGGGGCAGAUGGUCAUGAGAAGCAGAGUGCAGAAAGCCUCGGAUGCCAGACGAAGAACUUUCAUCUCCACCUGCUUCCUGAUGAGGAGCGAUUUUUUUUUUAACAUGAAAGAAUUAUUCUAACAUUGAGGAGGGGACGUUAGUGUAUAUUAUAACCGCUAGAGCGCGUGACUUUCAAGGCUGGCCACCAAGUAUACACACGACAGUCAGCCAGAUGCUUCUGAUGUUCAUUAGGUGUUGACCUGGGAUGCUUUGACGUGAGCACCUCAAAUGACGUUCCCAGAAAUUGCCACUUGCUGUGGGCUCACUAGCUCAUCCCCUCUCAUGCUCCUACUGAUGUGUCUAUGACUUCACAACACAGGGACCCCCCCCCCCCAGGAUUUGCAGGUCGCCGAUUCAUCUUUUUUUGACCGCCUCAUGUAGAAGUAUCAUCCUGCGUGGGCGACAAGACCUGUUGAAUGCUUGCUAGUGGACAUUUGGGUUGUUUCCAGCCCGGGGCCAUGACAAAUAAAGCUGCUAUGAGCACUUGA
This is a long non-coding RNA of Panthera uncia (snow leopard), 7844 nucleotides long. RefSeq lists it as uncharacterized. NCBI's taxonomy places the organism in Eukaryota, Metazoa, Chordata, Mammalia, Carnivora, Felidae. The transcript is spliced from 5 exons. The record is from RefSeq and is a predicted model, not a curated record.